AGUAAUGUCUGGGAAACUGCCUGAUGGAGGGGGAUAACUACUGGAAACGGUAGCUAAUACCGCAUAAUGUCGCAAGACCAAAGUGGGGGACCUUCGGGCCUCAUGCCAUCAGAUGUGCCCAGAUGGGAUUAGCUAGUAGGUGGGGUAACGGCUCACCUAGGCGACGAUCCCUAGCUGGUCUGAGAGGAUGACCAGCCACACUGGAACUGAGACACGGUCCAGACUCCUACGGGAGGCAGCAGUGGGGAAUAUUGCACAAUGGGCGCAAGCCUGAUGCAGCCAUGCCGCGUGUGUGAAGAAGGCCUUCGGGUUGUAAAGCACUUUCAGCGGGGAGGAAGGCGUUAAGGUUAAUAACCUUGUCGAUUGACGUUACCCGCAGAAGAAGCACCGGCUAACUCCGUGCCAGCAGCCGCGGUAAUACGGAGGGUGCAAGCGUUAAUCGGAAUUACUGGGCGUAAAGCGCACGCAGGCGGUCUGUCAAGUCGGAUGUGAAAUCCCCGGGCUCAACCUGGGAACUGCAUU
Molecule: ribosomal RNA, 522 nt
Filed under: Klebsiella pneumoniae
Lineage: Bacteria; Pseudomonadati; Pseudomonadota; Gammaproteobacteria; Enterobacterales; Enterobacteriaceae
Description: bacterial SSU rRNA
Rfam family: Bacterial small subunit ribosomal RNA
Source: RNAcentral